This 253-nucleotide ribosomal RNA is filed under the name uncultured bacterium. RNAcentral's name for it is "partial 16S ribosomal RNA". It matches the Rfam family "Bacterial small subunit ribosomal RNA", at positions 524 to 776 of the family's 1533-position model. The record is from RNAcentral.
UACAGAGGUCCCAAGCGUUGUUCGGAUUCACUGGGCGUAAAGGGUGCGUAGACGGUCGGGUAAGUCUGAUGUGAAAUCUCACAGCUUAACUGUGAAACUGCAUUGGAUACUAUUCGGCUUGAGAGUUGGAGGGGGGACUGGAAUUCUUGGUGUAGCAGUGAAAUGCGUAGAUAUCAAGAGGAACACCAGUGGCGAAGGCGAGUCCCUGGACAACUUCUGACGCUGAGGCACGAAAGCUAGGGGAGCAAACAGG